RNAcentral lists this unclassified non-coding RNA (200 nucleotides) under soil metagenome. RNAcentral's name for it is "partial contains internal transcribed spacer 2 and large subunit ribosomal RNA". The record is from RNAcentral.
UCGAGCGUCAUUAUCAACCAUCAAGCCCAGCUUGCUAUUGGGUGCCGUCCCCCGUGGACGCGCCCUAAACACCUCGGCGGCGGUUUCAAACCUCAAGCGUAGUAAAUCUUUCAGCUUUUCAGGGAUGAGACUGCUCUGCCUCUAGAACACCACAUCUUAAGGUUGACCUCGGAUCAGGUAGGGAUACCCGCUGAACUUAA